AAGAAAAUGUGCCAGUGACAAUGUCUAGCCA
Molecule: non-coding RNA, 31 nt
Filed under: Mus musculus (house mouse)
Lineage: Eukaryota; Metazoa; Chordata; Mammalia; Rodentia; Muridae
Source: RNAcentral